GGGUUUGUGGCUCAGUGGUGGAGUGCUUAUCUCACAUAUAUGAGGCACUGGGUUUGAUUCUCAGCACCA
This 69-nucleotide transfer RNA is filed under the name Ictidomys tridecemlineatus (thirteen-lined ground squirrel). RNAcentral's name for it is "Spermophilus tridecemlineatus (thirteen-lined ground squirrel) tRNA". It matches the Rfam family "tRNA". Rfam says of the family: Transfer RNA (tRNA) molecules are approximately 80 nucleotides in length. The record is from Rfam by way of RNAcentral. Lineage: Eukaryota; Metazoa; Chordata; Mammalia; Rodentia; Sciuridae.